AGAUGGCGACCGGCGCACGGGUGAGUAACACGUAUCCAACCUGCCGAUAACUCGGGGAUAGCCUUUCGAAAGAAAGAUUAAUACCCGAUGGUAUAAUCAGACCGCAUGGCCUUGUUAUUAAAGAAUUUCGGUUAUCGAUGGGGAUGCGUUCCAUUAGGCAGUUGGUGAGGUAACGGCUCACCAAACCUUCGAUGGAUAGGGGUUCUGAGAGGAAGGUCCCCCACAUUGGAACUGAGACACGGUCCAA
Molecule: ribosomal RNA, 247 nt
Filed under: uncultured bacterium
Lineage: Bacteria
Description: partial 16S ribosomal RNA
Rfam family: Bacterial small subunit ribosomal RNA
Source: RNAcentral